This 450-nucleotide ribosomal RNA is filed under the name Hylastes ater. RNAcentral's name for it is "eukaryotic LSU rRNA". The record is from RNAcentral. Lineage: Eukaryota; Metazoa; Arthropoda; Insecta; Coleoptera; Curculionidae.
AAACCGUUUAGGGGUAAACCUGAAAAACCCGAAAGGUCGAAGGGAGAAAUUCAUUCGCGUUUCGACGUAGGCGUGGAACGGGAUUGAGUGACGGAAAAUUUGUGCUUGCACUAAUUUUUCGCGCCGCCCGUUUCUCGAACCGACGACGAACGCGUGCACUUUUCUCCUGGUAGGACGUCGCGAUCCGUUGGGUGUCGGUCUACGGCUCGCGGUGGAGCCCGUUUGUCAUUAAUUUGCGAACGGACCCGCGUUGAUCCCGGCCGACUCGCUCGACGGUAUAAGAAAGGUUUGAGGCCGCUCGUUUGGAGCGUUCGACUCGCGGCAAGCGCGUCAGAUGUGUUGGCGAUCGGACCUAGUGCCGAUUCUGACCUCUGGUGACUGUUGGCUGCGAAGUUCUCGAACAGACCUCUCGACCGAUCUGCGACGCUAUAGCGUUGGGUACUUUCAGGA